UAGAUGCGAGAGUAGAGCAUAUCAAUAAGCGGAGGAAAAGAAACUAACAAGGAUUCCCUUAGUAACGGCGAGUGAAGCGGGAAGAGCUCAAAUUUGAAAUCUUCAAGGUUCUACCUUGACGAAUUGUAGUUUAAGAGAAGUGUUUUCUGUUAGAUGAGUAGCAAAAGUUCCUUGGAAUGGGACAUCAUAGAGGGUGAGAAUCCCGUAUUUGGUUAUUCAUUCUAGCUUUGUGAUACACUUUCAAAGAGUCGGAUUGUUUGGGAAUGCAGUCCAAAAUGGGUGGUAAAUUUCAUCUAAAGCUAAAUAUUGGCGAGAGACCGAUAGCGAACAAGUACCGUGAGGGAAAGAUGAAAAGAACUUUGAAAAGAGAGUUAAACAGUACGUGAAAUUGUCAAAAGGGAAGCGUUUGACACCAGUGUUGUUUUUCCGAAAAUCAAUUACGAAUGGCUUGAUUUUGUGUUGUAUUGACCUUAUCAGCUUUCUGCACUUUUUUCGAGUCUUUCUUAAUGCACUUUUCGGUUAACAAGUCAACAUCAAUUUCUUUUGUUGUAAAAGAGUAUUCGGAAGGUGGCUUUCUUUUCGGAGAAAGUGUUUAUAGCCCUAUACUUCUACAAUCGGAGAGAUUGAGGUCUGCAGCGUAGAUCCUUCGGGGUUAGAUACACUUUGUGCUAAGUUGUAGCUUUUCAUAGACAACUUGUUGACUAUGUUUAGUCAUGCGGCUUACUCGCUUGUGCUAUUUUACCUACGCUUAGGAUGUUGAGCGCAUGUCUCUCUCU
Molecule: ribosomal RNA, 776 nt
Filed under: uncultured Neocallimastigales
Lineage: Eukaryota; Fungi; Neocallimastigomycota; Neocallimastigomycetes; Neocallimastigales
Description: partial large subunit ribosomal RNA
Rfam family: Eukaryotic large subunit ribosomal RNA
Source: RNAcentral